UAGCCUAGUAAUUAAGGCUAUGGAUUGCCAAUCCGGAGACGGCGGGUUCGAUUCCCGU
This is a non-coding RNA of Aedes albopictus (Asian tiger mosquito), 58 nucleotides long. The record is from Rfam. NCBI's taxonomy places the organism in Eukaryota, Metazoa, Arthropoda, Insecta, Diptera, Culicidae.